RNAcentral lists this microRNA (22 nucleotides) under Sphenodon punctatus (tuatara). RNAcentral describes it as "Spt-Mir-1677-P7_5p (mature (co-guide))". Lineage: Eukaryota; Metazoa; Chordata; Lepidosauria; Sphenodontia; Sphenodontidae. The record is from RNAcentral.
ACCAAAGCCCAUUGAGGUCAAU